UACGGAGGGUGCGAGCGUUAAUCGGAAUUACUGGGCGUAAAGGGUGCGUAGGUGGUUUAUUAAGUUAUCUGUGAAAUCCCUGGGCUUAACCUGGGCAGGUCAGAUAAGACUGGUGAACUCGAGUAUAGGAGAGGGUAGUGGAAUUUCCGGUGUAGCGGUGAAAUGCGUAGAGAUCGGAAGGAACACCAGUGGCGAAGGCGGCUACCUGGCCUGAUACUGACACUGAGGCACGAAAGCGUGGGGAGCAAACAGG
This 253-nucleotide ribosomal RNA is filed under the name uncultured bacterium. RNAcentral describes it as "partial 16S ribosomal RNA". It matches the Rfam family "Bacterial small subunit ribosomal RNA", at positions 524 to 776 of the family's 1533-position model. The record is from RNAcentral.